UGGUCUUCUGGGAAGCUUUCGCGGUAUGGGAUGGGGUCGCGUCCUAUCAGCUUGACGGCGGGGUAACGGCCCACCGUGGCUUCGACGGGUAGCCGGCCUGAGAGGGCGACCGGCCACAUUGGGACUGAGAUACGGCCCAGACUCCUACGGGAGGCAGCAGUGGGGAAUAUUGCACAAUGGGCGCAAGCCUGAUGCAGCGACGCCGCGUGAGGGAUGGAGGCCUUCGGGUUGUAAACCUCUUUUAUCGGGGAGCAAGCGUGAGUGAGUUUACCCGUUGAAUAAGCACCGGCUAACUACGUGCCAGCAGCCGCGGUAAUACGUAGGGUGCAAGCGUUAUCCGGAAUUAUUGGGCGUAAAGGGCUCGUAGGCGGUUCGUCGCGUCCGGUGUGAAAGUCCAUCGCUUAACGGUGGAUCCGCGCCGGGUACGGGCGGGCUUGAGUGCGGUAGGGGAGA
RNAcentral lists this ribosomal RNA (453 nucleotides) under Bifidobacterium longum subsp. suillum. RNAcentral's name for it is "bacterial SSU rRNA". It matches the Rfam family "Bacterial small subunit ribosomal RNA", at positions 192 to 660 of the family's 1533-position model. The record is from RNAcentral. Lineage: Bacteria; Bacillati; Actinomycetota; Actinomycetes; Bifidobacteriales; Bifidobacteriaceae.